UUGGGAGUGGCUUCCGGAGCUAACGCGUUAAGUCGACCGCCUGGGGAGUACGGCCGCAAGGUUAAAACUCAAAUGAAUUGACGGGGGCCCGCACAAGCGGUGGAGCAUGUGGUUUAAUUCGAUGCAACGCGAAGAACCUUACCUGGCCUUGACAUCCACGGAAUUCUGCAGAGAUGCGGAAGUGCCUUCGGGAACCGUGAGACAGGUGCUGCAUGGCUGUCGUCAGCUCGUGUUGUGAAAUGUUGGGUUAAGUCCCGCAACGAGCGCAACCCUUAUCCUUUGUUGCCAGCGAUUCGGUCGGGAACUCAAAGGAGACUGCCGGUGAUAAACCGGAGGAAGGUGGGGAUGACGUCAAGUCAUCAUGGCCCUUACGGCCAGGGCUACACACGUGCUACAAUGGCGCAUACAAAGAGAAGCGACCUCGCGAGAGCAAGCGGACCUCAUAAAGUGCGUCGUAGUCCGGAUCGGAGUCUGAACUCGACUCCGUGAAGCGGAUCGUAGAAUC
This 505-nucleotide ribosomal RNA is filed under the name uncultured bacterium. RNAcentral describes it as "bacterial SSU rRNA". It matches the Rfam family "Bacterial small subunit ribosomal RNA", at positions 833 to 1342 of the family's 1533-position model. The record is from RNAcentral.